RNAcentral lists this ribosomal RNA (253 nucleotides) under uncultured bacterium. Its description in RNAcentral is "partial 16S ribosomal RNA". It matches the Rfam family "Bacterial small subunit ribosomal RNA", at positions 524 to 776 of the family's 1533-position model. The record is from RNAcentral.
UACGUAGGGGGCAAGCGUUGUCCGGAUUUAUUGGGCGUAAAGAGCGUGUAGGCGGCCAAAUAGGUCGGUUGUGAAAACUGGAGGCUUAACCUCCAGACGUCGACCGAAACCAUCUGGCUAGAGUCCGGAAGAGGAGAGUGGAAUUCCUGGUGUAGCGGUGAAAUGCGCAGAUAUCAGGAGGAACACCGAUGGCGAAGGCAGCUCUCUGGGACGGUACUGACGCUGAGACGCGAAAGCGUGGGGAGCGAACAGG